UUAAAGCUAGCCUAUAUAUUAAUUCAACUAGACCUUAUAAAUCUAAUCUAUAUUACAGUUUUUAAUCAAAACAUUCUCAACCUUCUAGUAUGGGUGACAGAACAAUAACCCCAGCGCAAUAGCUUAUGUACCGCAAGGGAAAGCUGAAAAAGAAAUGAAAUAAAUCAUUAAAGUACUAAAAAGCAGAGAUGAUACCUCGUACCUUUUGCAUCAUGAUUUAGCUAGAAAAACUAGGCAAAAAGACCUUAAGUCUAUCUCCCCGAAACUAAACGAGCUACUCCGAAGCAGCAUUAUAGAGCUAACCCGUCUCUGUGGCAAAAGAGUGGGAAGACUUCCGAGUAGCGGUGAAAAGCCUACCGAGUUUAGUGAUAGCUGGUUACCCAAGAAAAGAACUUUAGUUCUGCAUUAAUUUUUCACUAUCUAGACAAGACUUACUCGUCAAAGAAUUCUAUAAGAAUUAAUAGUUAUUUAGAAGAGGUACAACCCUUCUAAAUCAAGACACAACUUUUUAAGGUGGGAAAUGAUCAUAAUUAUUAAGGUUACCAUCCUAGUGGGCCUAAAAGCAGUCACCUAUUAAGUAAGCGUCGCAGCUCUAAUCUAAUAAUUAAACCUUUAAUUCAGAUAUUCAUUCACAACCCCCUUCAUUCUAUUGGGUUAUUUUAUAUUUAUAUAAAAGAACUUAUGCUAAAAUGAGUAAUAAAGAGAAUAAAUCUCUCCCGACACAAGUGUAUGUCAGAAAGAAUUAAAUCACUGAUAAUUAAACGACCCCAAACUGAGGUCAUUAUAUCACAAUCAAUCAACUAGAAAACCCUAUUUUCCUACUCGUUACCCCUACACAGGAGUGUCAUCAGGAAAGA
RNAcentral lists this ribosomal RNA (857 nucleotides) under Carcharhinus leucas (bull shark). Its description in RNAcentral is "partial 16S ribosomal RNA". The stretch from base 181 to 857 matches the Rfam family "Bacterial large subunit ribosomal RNA", at positions 568 to 1500 of the family's 2925-position model. Lineage: Eukaryota; Metazoa; Chordata; Chondrichthyes; Carcharhiniformes; Carcharhinidae. The record is from RNAcentral.